UACGAGUGCCCCAAGCGUUAUCCGGAAUCAUUGGGCGUAAAGGGUGUGUAGGUGGCGAUGUUAGUCUUCUGUUAAAACCCCGGGCUUAACCCGGGAUCUGCAGAGGAAACGGCAUUGCUCGAGGAUGCGAGGGGUGAAUGGAACUCAUGGAGUAGGGGUGAAAUCCGUUGAUAUCAUGGGGAACACCAAAAGCGAAGGCAAUUCACUGGCGCAUUCCUGACACUGAAACACGAAAGCGUAGGUAGCGAACGGG
RNAcentral lists this ribosomal RNA (253 nucleotides) under uncultured bacterium. RNAcentral's name for it is "partial 16S ribosomal RNA". It matches the Rfam family "Bacterial small subunit ribosomal RNA", at positions 524 to 776 of the family's 1533-position model. The record is from RNAcentral.